RNAcentral lists this transfer RNA (72 nucleotides) under Saccoglossus kowalevskii. RNAcentral's name for it is "tRNA-Glu". It matches the Rfam family "tRNA". Rfam says of the family: Transfer RNA (tRNA) molecules are approximately 80 nucleotides in length. Lineage: Eukaryota; Metazoa; Hemichordata; Enteropneusta; Harrimaniidae. The record is from RNAcentral.
UCCCAUAUGGUCUAGUGGUUAGGAUUCGGCGCUUUCACCGCCAAGGCCCGGGUUCAAUUCCCGGUGUGAGAA